RNAcentral lists this ribosomal RNA (301 nucleotides) under uncultured bacterium. RNAcentral's name for it is "partial 16S ribosomal RNA". It matches the Rfam family "Bacterial small subunit ribosomal RNA", at positions 509 to 807 of the family's 1533-position model. The record is from RNAcentral.
CAGUCGCCGCGGUAAUACGAGGGGGGCAAGCGUUGUUCGGAUUUAUUGGGCGUAAAGGGUGCGUAGGCGGUUUGGCAAGUCUUGUGUGAAAUCUUCGGGCUCAACCCGAAGCCUGCACGAGAAACUACCGGGCUUGAGUAUUGGAGAGGUGAGUGGAAUUUCCGGUGUAGCGGUGAAAUGCGUAGAUAUCGGAAGGAACACCUGUGGCGAAAGCGGCUCACUGGACAAUAACUGACGCUGAUGCACGAAAACUAGGGGAGCAAACAGGAUUAGAUACCCCCGUAGUCCCUGUCUCUUAUAC